RNAcentral lists this ribosomal RNA (695 nucleotides) under uncultured bacterium. Its description in RNAcentral is "bacterial SSU rRNA". It matches the Rfam family "Bacterial small subunit ribosomal RNA", at positions 44 to 715 of the family's 1533-position model. The record is from RNAcentral.
AUGCUUAACACAUGCAAGUCGAACGGUAACAGAUAAGAUGAUCUCUUCGGAGUGAAUCUUUGCUGACGAGUGGCGGACGGGUGAGUAAUGCUUGGGAAUCUGCCCAAUAGUGGGGGAAAACUCGGGGAAACCCGGGCUAAUACCGCAUAAUCUCUACGGAGGAAAGAGGGCCUCUACAUGUAAGCUCUCGCUAAUGGAUGAGCCCAAGUCAGAUUAGCUUGUUGGUAAGGUAAUGGCUUACCAAGGCUACGAUCUGUAGCUGGUCUGAGAGGACGACCAGCCACACUGGGACUGAGACACGGCCCAGACUCCUACGGGAGGCAGCAGUGGGGAAUAUUGCACAAUGGGCGCAAGCCUGAUGCAGCAAUGCCGCGUGUGUGAAGAAGGCUCUAGGGUUGUAAAGCACUUUCAAUAGAGAAGAAAAGCUUGAAAUUAAUACUUUCAAGCCUUGACGUAACCUAUACAAGAAGCACCGGCUAAUUCCGUGCCAGCAGCCGCGGUAACACGGGAGGUGCGAGCGUUAAUCGGAAUUACUGGGCGUAAAGCGAGCGUAGGCUGUUAAUUAAGUCGAAUGUGAAAUCCCCGGGCUCAACCUGGGAACUGCAUCCGAAACUAUUUAACUAGAGUAUGGGAGAGGAAAGUAGAAUUUCCGGUGUAGCGGUGAAAUGCGUAGAUAUCGGAAGGAACACCAGUGG